AGUGAACGCUGGCGGUAGGCCUAACACAUGCAAGUCGAACGGCAGCACAGUAAGAGCUUGCUCUUACGGGUGGCGAGUGGCGGACGGGUGAGGAAUACAUCGGAAUCUACUUUUUCGUGGGGGAUAACGUAGGGAAACUUACGCUAAUACCGCAUACGACCUACGGGUGAAAGCAGGGGAUCUUCGGACCUUGCGCGAUUGAAUGAGCCGAUGUCGGAUUAGCUAGUUGGCGGGGUAAAGGCCCACCAAGGCGACGAUCCGUAGCUGGUCUGAGAGGAUGAUCAGCCACACUGGAACUGAGACACGGUCCAGACUCCUACGGGAGGCAGCAGUGGGGAAUAUUGGACAAUGGGCGCAAGCCUGAUCCAGCCAUACUGCGUGGGUGAAGAAGUCCUUCGGGUUGUAAAGCCCUUUUGUUGGGAAAGAAAAGCAGCAGGUUAAUACCCCGCUGUUCUGACGGUACCCAAAGAAUAAGCACCGGCUAACUUCGUG
RNAcentral lists this ribosomal RNA (492 nucleotides) under uncultured bacterium. Its description in RNAcentral is "partial 16S ribosomal RNA". It matches the Rfam family "Bacterial small subunit ribosomal RNA", at positions 29 to 507 of the family's 1533-position model. The record is from RNAcentral.